AUGAGGGAGAUCCUGCACAUCCAGGGUGGGCAGUGUGGAAACCAGAUUGGUUCCAAGUUCUGGGAGGUGGUGUGUGACGAGCAUGGCAUCGACCCCACUGGGCGGUAUGUCGGCACCUCUGACCUGCAGCUGGAGCGUGUCAACGUCUACUACAAUGAGGCCUCCUGUGGUCGCUUUGUGCCCCGUGCUGUCCUUAUGGAUCUUGAGCCGGGCACCAUGGACAGUGUUCGUACUGGACCGUACGGGCAGAUCUUCCGCCCUGACAACUUUGUGUUUGGGCAGUCUGGUGCUGGUAACAACUGGGCCAAGGGUCACUACACUGAGGGUGCAGAGCUUAUUGAUUCUGUUCUUGAUGUUGUCAGGAAGGAGGCUGAGAACUGUGACUGCCUUCAAGGUUUCCAAGUAUGCCACUCUCUUGGUGGUGGUACUGGAUCAGGCAUGGGGACCCUUUUGAUAUCAAAGAUCAGGGAGGAGUACCCUGACCGCAUGAUGCUUACGUUCUCUGUUUUCCCCUCACCCAAAGUAUCUGAUACCGUGGUUGAGCCUUACAAUGCCACUCUUUCGGUCCAUCAGUUGGUUGAGAAUGCAGAUGAGUGCAUGGUUCUUGACAACGAGGCCCUUUAUGACAUCUGUUUCAGGACUCUCAAGCUGACCACUCCCAGCUUUGGAGAUUUGAACCAUCUGAUCUCAGCCACCAUGAGUGGAGUGACCUGCUGCCUGAGGUUCCCCGGCCAGCUGAACUCCGACCUCCGGAAGCUGGCAGUGAACCUGAUCCCGUUCCCGCGUCUCCACUUCUUCAUGGUCGGGUUCGCGCCGCUGACCUCCCGCGGGUCCCAGAUGUACCGCUCCCUCACGGUCCCGGAGCUGACCCAGCAGAUGUGGGACUCGAAGAACAUGAUGUGCGCCGCCGACCCGCGCCACGGCCGGUACCUGACGGCCUCGGCCAUGUUCCGCGGCAAGAUGAGCACCAAGGAGGUGGACGAGCAGAUGAUCAACGUGCAGAACAAGAACUCGAGCUACUUCGUGGAGUGGAUCCCCAACAACGUCAAGUCGAGCGUGUGCGACAUCGCGCCCAGGGGCCUGUCCAUGGCGUCCACCUUCAUCGGCAACUCGACGUCCAUCCAGGAGAUGUUCCGGCGGGUGAGCGAGCAGUUCACGGCCAUGUUCCGGCGCAAGGCCUUCCUCCACUGGUACACGGGCGAGGGCAUGGACGAGAUGGAGUUCACCGAGGCCGAGAGCAACAUGAACGACCUGGUCGCCGAGUACCAGCAGUACCAGGACGCCACCGCCGACGAGGAGGAGGAGCUGUACGAGGACGAGGACGACGCCGACCUCCAGGAGUAG
Molecule: ribosomal RNA, 1344 nt
Filed under: Triticum aestivum (bread wheat)
Lineage: Eukaryota; Viridiplantae; Streptophyta; Magnoliopsida; Poales; Poaceae
Description: partial small subunit ribosomal RNA
Source: RNAcentral